This 1527-nucleotide unclassified non-coding RNA is filed under the name Polistes fuscatus (common paper wasp). RNAcentral's name for it is "anaphase-promoting complex subunit 11-like, transcript variant X4". Lineage: Eukaryota; Metazoa; Arthropoda; Insecta; Hymenoptera; Vespidae. The record is from RNAcentral.
GCGUUGCAAGCAACCUAGAGGUCACGUGUUAUUCGUUUCGGUACAGGCUAUAUUUACGGAUUAUUCCUUGAACGUUGUUUAAUUUCAUUAUAAUUUUUGUAAUAUUUUCGUUUUCUUGUUGAUGUAGAUUUUGAAAAUAACGGGUUAAGCGUAGCAAAAUAACGUGAAUAUCUUCCAGCAAAAACUAUCAUUUGCGUACGCAAAUUGAACGAUAUCGUGUGUUUUAACCUUUACAAUUAAUAAUUUAAAUAAAUCUAUAAUAUAAUCCACCAAUACAAUUCAAAACGUUUCAGAAUGAAAGUUACAAUAAAAAGCUGGACAGGUGUUGCCACCUGGCGUUGGAUAGCGAACGAUGAUAACUGCGGAAUUUGUCGGAUGCCUUUCGAUGCGAGUUGUCCGGACUGCAAAAUUCCAGGGGAUGACUGUCCUUUAGUUUGGGGCCAGUGCUCGCAUUGUUUCCAUAUUCAUUGCAUCAUGAAGUGGCUGCAUUCUCAGCAAACCAGUCAUCUAUGCCCUAUGUGUCGUCAAGAAUGGAAGUUCAAAGAGUAAAUGUUUUCUCGAUGUUCCCGCAGGUGUCAGCACGCACCAAAUAAUCAGAAAGUACCGCAUAAUUUGGCCUUCUUCGUUGGAAUUAAUCAGGAGAUAGAGUUUUCCUCGUCUUCUUGGAAAGCGUACCACGAUUUGUUGGAAAGGGGGGGAGAAAAAAAGGAAGAGAGGAGCUGCAGCGUUCGUUCGAUUUAAGAAUUCAACGAUUAUCGCGCCGUUCACAUUUACGACUUCGGUUGCCGACUACGAAAGUUGUUUACGCUCACAUUACGCGUCACACACAUCAGUUGAUGUGCCGAACGAGAUAACACGUAGAUGAAAGAAUAUCCGGUUAAUACCAGCACUGAGCGAGUUGCCUACCUGAUGCCCCCGAGAACGCGAGCUCGAACAAGUCACGUGGUCUGUUGAACGCAAAGGAUGUUUCUGGGAUCGCGAAGUCAGUAUUCGACGGGCCGUCCUCCGAGCUGGAGGAAAAGAGACGGAGGUGAACGAGAACUUAUGAUCUCACGAAGACCCCUUGUGGAAACAGGCAAACAGAGACGGAGAGAGGACUUUGAAGAGUAGUAGUAGUAGUAGUAGUAGUAGGGAGGAUAUCUUGCGAAGGAAGCCGCUCUCGAUCGUUGUUGGAUACCGCAACACUCUCUUACCGAUAUGCGCUAACCGAGAACGGGGAUAUCUUUUUGAAAGUUCUUUUUCUGUGGUUUUCUUUCUUUCUUCCUGUUACGUGAAUUAUUUGUCGAGCGACUUCGAAAGAUUCCACAUCGGUUUGCUUCGUUUCCUGAUACACCUUUUCGCUUAAUACUUGUGAUAAAAUGGAUAAAGAAUUUUUGCUGAUUUUAUCGAAUAUAUUACUCGACGAGAAAUAAAUCACAAAUCUGAUCCGAUCGAUUAGAAAAUUCUUCGUCUGACGGCGAAGAAGGAAUCUGCGUUUAAAAGAGAAAGAGAAAAUAUAAAAGGAGGAACGAAGAGAUUUGCAGGUAA